Molecule: non-coding RNA, 402 nt
Organism: Ceratotherium simum simum (southern white rhinoceros)
Lineage: Eukaryota; Metazoa; Chordata; Mammalia; Perissodactyla; Rhinocerotidae
Source: RefSeq, a predicted model, not a curated record
AAAGGUCCUGGUCUCAGGAAUUUCCCAGAAUAACCUCUUGAAAAGGGAUGUUGAUUGAAAUGUGCAAUUACCAAUAAUUGAGGUUUCAUCUGAGGGUGUUGAAAUGAAAUGGCUCCUUCUGGGCCAUCAUUGGCAUUUUGACCCUAUUUUUGACAAGUAAAGUGAAACUUUUAAAAAAGGUUGGCAAAGAUGAUAUUGUGUCAUUUGUGAAAUAUAAUAGAUGUUAAUUCAUGAUUGGUUUGUCCUGCCUGCUUUAAAUGAAAUGUAUUGUGUUUCUGGGUUUUCUUUUUAGCUGUAAAAGUACUUUGUUACUUAAAGCAUACGGUUUGAUCAGCAGUUGUGCUUCAAGUUCCUGCAAGUUAUAAAAGUUUCUCAUGCCUUGAGUGCUUUCCCCUUGCCUGG